AGUGAACGCUGGCGGUAGGCCUAGCACAUGCAAGUCGAACGGCAGCACAGUAAUAGCUUGCUCUUACGGGUGGCGAGUGGCGGACGGGUGAGGAAUACAUCGGAAUCUACUUUUUCGUGGGGGAUAACGUAGGGAAACUUACGCUAAUACCGCAUACGACCUACGGGUGAAAGCAGGGGAUCUUCGGACCUUGCGCGAUUGAAUGAGCCGAUGUCGGAUUAGCUAGUUGGCGGGGUAAAGGCCCACCAAGGCGACGAUCCGUAGCUGGUCUGAGAGGAUGAUCAGCCACACUGGAACUGAGACACGGUCCAGACUCCUACGGGAGGCAGCAGUGGGGAAUAUUGGACAAUGGGCGCAAGCCUGAUCCAGCCAUACCGCGUGGGUGAAGAAGGCCUUCGGGUUGUAAAGCCCUUUUGUUGGGAAAGAAAAGCAGCAGGUUAAUACCACGCUGUUCUGACGGUACCCAAAGAAUAAGCACCGGCUAACUUCGUG
This 492-nucleotide ribosomal RNA is filed under the name uncultured bacterium. RNAcentral's name for it is "partial 16S ribosomal RNA". It matches the Rfam family "Bacterial small subunit ribosomal RNA", at positions 29 to 507 of the family's 1533-position model. The record is from RNAcentral.